This 497-nucleotide ribosomal RNA is filed under the name uncultured bacterium. RNAcentral describes it as "partial 16S ribosomal RNA". It matches the Rfam family "Bacterial small subunit ribosomal RNA", at positions 28 to 507 of the family's 1533-position model. The record is from RNAcentral.
GAUGAACGCUGGCGGCGUGCCUAAUGCAUGCAAGUCGAGCGAACGGACGAGAAGCUUGCUUUUCUGAUGUUAGCGGCGGACGGGUGAGUAACACGUGGAUACCCUACUUAUAAGACUGGGAUAAUUUCGGGAAACCGGAGCUAAUACCGGAUAAUCUUUUGAACCGCAUGGUUCAAAAGUGAAAGACGGUCUUGCUGUCACUUAUAGAUGGUUCCGCGCUGCAUUAGCUAGUUGGUAAGGUAACGGCUUACCAAGGCGACGAUGCAUAGCCGACCUGAGAGAGGGAUCGGCCACACUGGAACUGAGACACGGUCCAGACUCCUACGGGAGGCAGCAGUAGGGAAUCUUACGCAAUGGGCGAAAGCCUGACGGAGCAACGCCGCGUGAGUGAUGGAGGUCUUCGGAUCGUAAAACUCUGUUAUUAGGGAAGAACAUAUGUGUAAGUAACUGUGCACAGCGUGACGGUACCGAAUCAGAAAGCCACGGCUAACUACGUG